GGGGCUGACAGGUUUCGACAUCAGUUUCGCUGGCCGAGCGUGCGACCCGAAUUGCUCAGAUUCGUUAAACGGGGCAAAAAAAUAUCUGCCAACCAGCAGUUCGCUCUCGCCGCCUAAUUUUUAGGUGACAGAGAGCACUCGUGAGUCGUGAGACCGCACGGGGCCAGUUCACCGCAGCCCGGCAACAGAAGCGGUGGAUGACAGCUGGAAAGAAAGCUGACCGCAGGAAAGUCUGUUGACAGGCCGGAAAGACGACUCGCGGUGUUCAACGUAAGUUGAACUCAUUCGACCCACCGAUGGUGUUGCGUUAGCACCGAAGUUGGGAAUGGUCGUAGCACGAACGUUUAGCACCUGAUGGACGGGGGUUCGAUUCCCCCCAGCUCCACCC
RNAcentral lists this transfer-messenger RNA (388 nucleotides) under Ilumatobacteraceae. RNAcentral describes it as "F1-20-MAGs119 sp013205145 Standard tmRNA". It matches the Rfam family "transfer-messenger RNA". From Rfam's summary of the family: Bacterial tmRNA, also known as 10Sa RNA or SsrA, is named for its dual tRNA and mRNA-like properties. Its role is to liberate the mRNA from a stalled ribosome. To accomplish this part of the tmRNA is used as a reading frame that ends in a translation stop signal. RNAcentral also lists the same sequence under 1 other name. Lineage: Bacteria; Bacillati; Actinomycetota; Acidimicrobiia; Acidimicrobiales. The record is from RNAcentral.